UUUUCAGCAUCGCUUCAUACAACACCUAUAUAUUUUAGUACGUCUAAUUUUGUUUCUGAACCAAAAUCGGUAUUUAUUACUGAAUCUCCACCCAAUAAUAUUUCAUAUAUGUCUAUAAUGGUAAAGAAGCAAGUGAAGAAUUCAUCUUAUCGGAUAGGCCUAUACUUUGGAAUUGGAACAUGUGUAAUUCUAUUCGUCAUUAUAAUCCUGCUAAUUAUAAAGUGGUAUCUACAGAAGAAGCAGAAGACAAAUAAUUCUACAAGGUAAUUACUAUUAAAUAUAUUUCUAUUUGAAUGAUAGGAAGAAUAAAGGCUUCACUUAUU
This 323-nucleotide long non-coding RNA is filed under the name Notechis scutatus (mainland tiger snake). RNAcentral describes it as "lncRNA (ENSNSUG00000019057.1)". The record is from RNAcentral. Lineage: Eukaryota; Metazoa; Chordata; Lepidosauria; Squamata; Elapidae.